UACGGAGGGUGCGAGCGUUGUUCGGAAUUACUGGGCGUAAAGGGCGCGUAGGCGGCCCGUCAAAUCCCGUGUGAAAGCCCCCGGCUCAACCGGGGAACUGCACGGGAAACUAGCAGGCUUGAGUUCGGGAGAGGGAAGCGAAAUUCCGAAUGUAGCGGUGAAAUGCGCAGAUAUCCGAAGGAACACCGGUGGCGAAGGCGGCUUCCUGGACCGACACUGACGCUAAGGCGCGAAAACUAGGAAAACAAACGGG
This 253-nucleotide ribosomal RNA is filed under the name uncultured bacterium. Its description in RNAcentral is "partial 16S ribosomal RNA". It matches the Rfam family "Bacterial small subunit ribosomal RNA", at positions 524 to 776 of the family's 1533-position model. The record is from RNAcentral.